GACGAACGCUGGCGGCGUGCUUAACACAUGCAAGUCGAACGGAAAGGCCCUGCUUUUGUGGGGUGCUCGAGUGGCGAACGGGUGAGUAACACGUGAGUAACCUGCCCUUGACUUUGGGAUAACUUCAGGAAACUGGGGCUAAUACCGGAUAGGAGCUCCUGCUGCAUGGUGGGGGUUGGAAAGUUUCGGCGGUUGGGGAUGGACUCGCGGCUUAUCAGCUUGUUGGUGGGGUAGUGGCUUACCAAGGCUUUGACGGGUAGCCGGCCUGAGAGGGUGGCCGGCCACAUUGGGACUGAGAUACGGCCCAGACUCCUACGGGAGGCAGCAGUGGGGAAUAUUGCACAAUGGGCGGAAGCCUGAUGCAGCAACGCCGCGUGCGUGAUGACGGCCUUCGGGUUGUAAACCGCUGUCGCCUGUGACGAAGCGUGAGUGACGGUAAUGGGUAAAGAAGCACCGGCUAACUACGUG
Molecule: ribosomal RNA, 468 nt
Filed under: uncultured bacterium
Lineage: Bacteria
Description: partial 16S ribosomal RNA
Rfam family: Bacterial small subunit ribosomal RNA
Source: RNAcentral